CUGUAUUAGUGUUAUGGUUUAUGCUAAGCAUGUAUAAUUUAAAAAAAAUGAGAGUAACUUUAAAAUGAUUUGGAAGAAAAAUAUGUACAUAUGUGAACAGUACUUAAUUCCAGGUGGUGGGAAUAUGGAUGACUGGUUAUCUUCUUCUUUCUGUAUCUUUCAUAUUUUUAAAUGGAAAAACUCAAUGACCUGGAAGUGAAAGAACAGAUUUGGAAGGGGUGUGGGGCAAGUGAGAGGAAAAUGCAAGAGAAGGACAAACCUAGUUCUGGCAGGAUUGUGUUUAAGUUGGAGGUUUCUAGGGAGCAGUUGUUGGGAUAAGAAGGAUAUGGGGAGGCAGGAGAAUCAUGAAAAUAUUUAGGACAGUGUGUUGCCUGUCAUAUUAUUCCUCCUCCUUUCCUGUUUCUUCAAAAGAAAUAUACAGACUUACACUUCUUUUCAAGCA
RNAcentral lists this long non-coding RNA (442 nucleotides) under Homo sapiens (human). RNAcentral describes it as "novel transcript". Lineage: Eukaryota; Metazoa; Chordata; Mammalia; Primates; Hominidae. The record is from RNAcentral.